Molecule: unclassified non-coding RNA, 1276 nt
Filed under: Funneliformis mosseae
Lineage: Eukaryota; Fungi; Glomeromycota; Glomeromycetes; Glomerales; Glomeraceae
Description: partial contains 18S rRNA, ITS1, 5.8S rRNA, ITS2 and 28S rRNA
Rfam family: Eukaryotic large subunit ribosomal RNA (bases 690-1276)
Source: RNAcentral
GUUGAUUACGUCCCUGCCCUUUGUACACACCGCCCGUCGCUACUACCGAUUGAAUGGCUUAGUGAGACCCUCGGAUUGGUAUUCUGAAGCUUUAACCGGCAUCUGUUUGCUGAGAAGUUGGUCAAACUUGGUCAUUUAGAGGAAGUAAAAGUCGUAACAAGGUUUCCGUAGGUGAACCUGCGGAAGGAUCAUUAAUGAUUUUUAAAGCGAGUCGAGCGUUAAGCGAGGCUUGCGAAAAUAUUUAAAACCCCACUCUUUUUUAACUUUAAAAAAUAAAUCAUGAUACAUGAAUUUAAAAAAAAAGAUCACUUUCAACAACGGAUCUCUUGGCUCUCGCAUCGAUGAAGAACGCAGCGAAAUGCGAUAAGUAGUGUGAAUUGCAUAAUUUUGUGAAUCAUCGAAUCUUUGAACGCAAAUUGCACUCCCUGGUAUUCCGGGGAGUAUGCCUGUUUGAGGGUCGUUAGAAUAAAAAAUCGAGGCGUCGCUCUUUUUUUUAAGGGUGAUCGCGUCGGAAUUGAGCCGUCUUUCAAAUGUUAAUUCAUGUCAAAGUGGCUUGAAAUUCAUCCAUCCGGUACGAUUAAAGCGUAUUUAAGAUCAAUUUUGUUCAAGAACGCGCGAUGACGUACCAUCUCAUGUAGUACGUUUGACCUGGGUCAUCAGGUUCAUUCGUAUACGAUACUCAAAACUUUUGACCUCAAAUCAGGUAAGAAUACCCGCUGAACUUAAGCAUAUCAAUAAGCGGAGGAAAAGAAAAUAACAAUGAUUCCCUCAGUAACGGCGAGCGAAGAGGGAUGAGCUCAAAUUUUAAAUCUGUUGGGUUCCACUUAACAGAGUUGUAUUUUGAAGAAACGUUUUCUGCGUCCAGGAUUAGCCUAAAUCCUUUGGGAUAAGGUAUCAUGGAGGGUGAGAAUCCCGUUCAUGGUUAAUCUUAAGGAAGCUCUACGAUACGUUUUCCAAGAGUCGAGUUGUUUGGGAUUGCAGCUCAAAAUGGGAGGUAAAUUUCUCCUAAGGCUAAAUAUUGGCGAAAGACCGAUAGCGAACAAGUACCGUGAGGGAAAAAUGAAAAGAACUUUGAAAAGAGAGUUAAACAGUCCGUGAAAUUGUUGAAAGGGAAACGAUUGAAGUCCGUCCAACCAACCGGGAAAUCAACCUUUUGAGCUUGGCCUCGGGGGUUUGGAAAAGUUCAAAGCCUUCCAAUUCCCGGGAUUGGGAUUCCCUGGGGGACUUUUUCCGACCGGUAAGCCAAAUCCGGUUUUGAAUGGCUAAAAUGCUCGGG